GACAGAGGGUGCAAGCGUUGUUCGGAAUUAUUGGGCGUAAAGGGCGCGUAGGCGGCAUUGCAAGUCGGAUGUGAAAGCCCUGGGCUUAACCCAGGAAGUGCAUCCGAUACUGCUUUGCUUGAGUGUCGGAGAGGGUGGUGGAAUUCCCAGUGUAGAGGUGAAAUUCGUAGAUAUUGGGAGGAACACCCGUGGCGAAGGCGACCACCUGGACGGCCACUGACGCUGAGGCGCGAAAGCGUGGGGAGCAAACAGG
This 253-nucleotide ribosomal RNA is filed under the name uncultured bacterium. Its description in RNAcentral is "partial 16S ribosomal RNA". It matches the Rfam family "Bacterial small subunit ribosomal RNA", at positions 524 to 776 of the family's 1533-position model. The record is from RNAcentral.